GAUGAACGCUAGCGGGAGGCCUAACACAUGCAAGCCGAGCGGUAGAGUUUCUUCGGAAACUUGAGAGCGGCGCACGGGUGCGUAACACGUGUGCAACCUCCUUUAUCUGGGGGAUAGCCUUUCGAAAGGAAGAUUAAUACCCCAUAAUAUAAUGAUUGGCAUCAAUUAUUAUUGAAAACUCCGGUGGAUAGAGAUGGGCACGCGCAAGAUUAGAUAGUUGGUGAGGUAACGGCUCACCAAGUCAAUGAUCUUUAGGGGUCCUGAGAGGGAGAUCCCCCACACUGGUACUGAGACACGGACCAGACUCCUACGGGAGGCAGCAGUGAGGAAUAUUGGACAAUGGGUGAGAGCCUGAUCCAGCCAUCACGCGUGAAGGAUGACGGUCCUAUGGAUUGUAAACUUCUUUUGUACAGGGAUAAACCUACCCUCGUGAGGGUAGCUGAAGGUACUGUACGAAUAAGCACCGGCUAACUCCGUG
RNAcentral lists this ribosomal RNA (478 nucleotides) under uncultured bacterium. RNAcentral describes it as "partial 16S ribosomal RNA". It matches the Rfam family "Bacterial small subunit ribosomal RNA", at positions 28 to 507 of the family's 1533-position model. The record is from RNAcentral.